GGACUAGAUUCAGCAGAUGUGUCUCUUGCUCAGCAGGGAAGACAUUAGUAAUCUGGAGCCAGGUACUGGAAGAUCAAGAGAAGCUAAAAACAGGAAAAGAGGCUAACAAUUGCUAAGCACCUGUAGGGCUGCUGUUGGAUGACUGGAAUUAGCAGCAGGGAAAGCUACUAGAAUGGAGUUCCUGUUGUUAGAGUUGCACAACCUUGUCAGUCAACAAGACCUUUGUGUCAAUCUCUUCCUUUCCAUAACACUUUUGGGAAAUGUGCUGAUUGAGGAAAACUGCAUUUUCAUCUUCCUUGUUGACAAACACUAUGACUAAUUGAUUGACAGAGGAGUGUGUCUCCAUGGCCAUCUUAGUGAUGAAUCCCUGGAAUCUUGCCUGUUCCCUCCUGUUUUUUCUUUUCCUCUCCUUAUGGCAUUUUGUAUCUUGUUGGAUGACUCCAUACAUUUUGCGUUAUUGUUUUCACCUAUUGUAAAGAGCCAACCUAAUUAUCAUAUAUGUGGCAUUUCCCUGAAUUCCAUCCCUUUGUCACACAAUAGCAUGACCAAGAAACAGAGCCAAGGGUAGGACUGUGCAGAUCAAUGGCUCCACAUGAUGCAACCUGAGACACAGUUGUGGGGAGCAUAAGCAUGCUAGCAGUUAUCUUAGGCUACCUUAGCAGUCCCCAGGACACUGUUUGGAAAUUGCUGAACUAAAAUGAAAACCCAAGAAAUGUAUGAGGGCAACAACAGAAGAUUUGGAAACAGAAGCAGCCAUAGGUCAAAUAGGUCCCAGAAUCAUCUCAGUAUAGACCGCCACAUUUGACCAUGGGAAGCCAGAGGGACACAUCCACCAUCACACUGACUUACAUGUAUAAUAAA
Molecule: long non-coding RNA, 861 nt
Organism: Rhineura floridana
Lineage: Eukaryota; Metazoa; Chordata; Lepidosauria; Squamata; Rhineuridae
Exons: 5
Source: RefSeq, a predicted model, not a curated record